UUUUAACAGGAUGGCUGGCUGGCUGUAUUCACACUUUUCGCUUUGUAAUAAUAUGCAAAUCCACUUGGCGCCCAGUCAAUACCCAAAAGAGUGGAAGGAUUAAAGAUAUUUAUAAGGGCAAAAAAAAAAAAAAGCUCUGCUAACUGGGUCUUUCCAUUUCUCUUUGAGAUCUAAUUUACAUGUCAGUAUUAUUUUAACAUUUGCUACAGAAUCCAGAGCUCUUAAUGAGAUCAGAAUACAACCGACAGCUUCAGCUUUUUGAUUCUGCAGAAUGUGCUAAUUUAUGGAUAGUCUCUUCUAAAUUGAGAAAAAGGGAUUUUCCCUCCUGAUACUGAGAAGCUAUAAAUAUUUUCGUUUACCUCUACCCCCACCUUUUAAAUUUUAUAAAGAAAACAACCCCACUCUCCCCCUCUCAUCCCGUGGCCCGCGAUUUCUCCUGAGUGAGAAAACUAAUAUUAGCUUCAACUUUCAUCCUGAAUCCAGUCACUGCAGUGAUGACCCAGUCUGAAAAGCUUAGAGCAGCGCUGGGGGCUUGGUGUCUGGCUGGGACUGUGUAUUCCUAACUGCAGAGCUUUGUUGAGAUGCAAAUAACCUCCCCCCCACCCCCCACCCUGAAACCCUCCCAAGGAGUAGCGAUUUUA
This 641-nucleotide long non-coding RNA is filed under the name Bos taurus (domestic cattle). RNAcentral's name for it is "long non-coding RNA NONBTAT007048". Lineage: Eukaryota; Metazoa; Chordata; Mammalia; Artiodactyla; Bovidae. The record is from RNAcentral.